This 484-nucleotide ribosomal RNA is filed under the name uncultured bacterium. RNAcentral's name for it is "partial 16S ribosomal RNA". It matches the Rfam family "Bacterial small subunit ribosomal RNA", at positions 28 to 507 of the family's 1533-position model. The record is from RNAcentral.
AUUGAACGCUGGCGGCAUGCUUUACACAUGCCAGUCGAACGGCAGCGCGGGCUUCGGCCUGGCGGCGAGUGGCGAACGGGUGAGUAAUGCAUCGGAACGUGCCCAGUAGUGGGGGAUAGCCCGGCGAAAGCCGGAUUAAUACCGCAUACGACCUGAGGGUGAAAGCGGGGGACCGAAAGGCCUCGCGCUAUUGGAGCGGCCGAUGUCGGAUUAGCUAGUUGGUGGGGUAAAGGCUUACCAAGGCGACGAUCCGUAGCUGGUCUGAGAGGACGACCAGCCACACUGGGACUGAGACACGGCCCAGACUCCUACGGGAGGCAGCAGUGGGGAAUUUUGGACAAUGGGGGCAACCCUGAUCCAGCCAUGCCGCGUGCGGGAAGAAGGCCUUCGGGUUGUAAACCGCUUUUGUUCGGGAAGAAAUCCUCUGGGCUAAUACCCCGGGGGGAUGACGGUAUCGGAAGAAUAAGCACCGGCUAACUACGUG